This 123-nucleotide ribosomal RNA is filed under the name Microcebus murinus (gray mouse lemur). Lineage: Eukaryota; Metazoa; Chordata; Mammalia; Primates; Cheirogaleidae. The record is from RNAcentral.
AUCUAUGGCCAUACCACCCUGGACGCCCCCGGUCUCGUCUGAUCUCGGAAGCUAAGCAGGGUCAGGCCCAGUGUACUUGGAUGGGAGACCGUAUGUAACGUAGCACUAACGUGGGCGUGGUGG